GGGCCAUUAACUCAGGUGGUUAGAGCGCACCCCUGAUAAGGGUGAGGUCCCUGGUUCAAGUCCAGGAUGGCCCA
RNAcentral lists this transfer RNA (74 nucleotides) under uncultured cyanobacterium. Its description in RNAcentral is "tRNA-Ile". It matches the Rfam family "tRNA". From Rfam's summary of the family: Transfer RNA (tRNA) molecules are approximately 80 nucleotides in length. Their secondary structure includes four short double-helical elements and three loops (D, anti-codon, and T loops). Further hydrogen bonds mediate the characteristic L-shaped molecular structure. tRNAs have two regions of fundamental functional importance: the anti-codon, which is responsible for specific mRNA codon recognition, and the 3' end, to which the tRNAs corresponding amino acid is attached (by aminoacyl-tRNA synthetases). tRNAs cope with the degeneracy of the genetic code in two manners: having more than one tRNA (with a specific anti-codon) for a particular amino acid; and 'wobble' base-pairing, i.e. permitting non-standard base-pairing at the 3rd anti-codon position. The record is from RNAcentral. RNAcentral also lists the same sequence under 1 other name. Lineage: Bacteria; Bacillati; Cyanobacteriota.